GACGAACGCUGGCGGCGUGCUUAACACAUGCAAGUCGAACGGAAAGGCCCUGCUUUUGUGGGGUUCUCGAGUGGCGAACGGGUGAGUAACACGUGAGUAACCUGCCCUUGACUUUGUGAUAACUUCAGGAAACUGGGGCUAAUACCGGAUAGGAGCUCCUGCUGCAUGGUGGGGGUUGGAAAGUUUCGGCGGUUGGGGAUGGACUCGCGGCUUAUCAGCUUGUUGGUGGGGUAGUGGCUUACCAAGGCUUUGACGGGUAGCCGGCCUGAGAGGGUGACCGGCGACAUUGGGACUGAGAUACGGCCCAGACUGCUACGGGAGGCAGCAGUGGGGAAUAUUGCACAAUGGGCGGAAGCCUGAUGCAGCAACGCCGCGUGCGGGAUGACGGCCUUCGGGUUGUAAACCGCUUUCGCAUGUGACGAAGCGUGAGUGACGGUAAUGGGUAAAGAAGCACCGGCUAACUACGUG
This 468-nucleotide ribosomal RNA is filed under the name uncultured bacterium. RNAcentral's name for it is "partial 16S ribosomal RNA". It matches the Rfam family "Bacterial small subunit ribosomal RNA", at positions 28 to 507 of the family's 1533-position model. The record is from RNAcentral.